GGCCUUGUAGAGAAAUGGUAACUCGCUGGAUUCCUACAAAGAGAGUUUAAGAUCCAGAGACUCUGGGUUCGAGUCCCAGCAAGGUCG
Non-coding RNA from Thozetella sp. PMI_491, 87 nucleotides. Lineage: Eukaryota; Fungi; Ascomycota; Sordariomycetes; Chaetosphaeriales; Chaetosphaeriaceae. The record is from the annotation of a GenBank genome assembly.